CUCCCCUCCGGAAUACGGAGCUGGUAUCAGGCACAAUAAUCCGCCCAAAACACCUAGCAAUCGCCACGCCCACAAGGGACACAGCAGUGAUUAACAUUAGUAAUAAGUGCCAGCUUGACCUAGUCAAAGAACUUAGGGCCGGCAAAGCUGGUGCCAGCCGCCGCGGUUACACCAGAGGCCCAAAUUGAUUUUCCCCGGCGUAAAGCGUGAUUAAAGAUUCUCAACAAAUUAGAGUCAAAUCUGAACUAAGUUGUAGUAUGCUUGUUCAUGAGAAAUUCACAAACGAAAGUUACUCUAUUUCUAUAACUUGAAUCCACGAUAGCCAAGACACAAACUAGGAUUAGAUACCCUACUAUGCUUGGCCUUAAACCUUAAAUUACUUCACCUACCGCCUAGGAACUACGAGCAAUGCUUAAAACCUAAAGGACUUGACGGUACCCCACAUCCCCUUAGAGGAGCCUGUCCUAUAACCGAUAUUCCCCGUUUAACCUCACCACUUCUAGCUUAUCAGCCUGUAUACCUCCGUCCCAGCCCACCGUAUGAAUGAAUUAGUGGGCCCCAAUACCAUUAGCCGAUACAUCAGGUCAAGGUGCAGCAAAUGAAGUGGAAAGAGAUGGGCUACACUUUCUACUCUAGAAUAAACGGAAAGUCAGCAUGAAACCUGACCAGAAGGCGGAUUUAAUAGUAAAAGGAAAACAGAGUGUUCUUUUUAACUCGGCACUGGAGUGUGUACACACCGCCCGUCACCCUCUUCAAAACUAAAUAACAGUAUUUAACAAACCCUCGAUUAUAAGAAGAGGCAAGUCGUAACANNNNNNNNNNNNNNNNNNNNNNNNNNNNNNN
This 843-nucleotide ribosomal RNA is filed under the name Ischnocnema nanahallux. RNAcentral's name for it is "partial 12S ribosomal RNA". Lineage: Eukaryota; Metazoa; Chordata; Amphibia; Anura; Brachycephalidae. The record is from RNAcentral.